This is a long non-coding RNA of Mugil cephalus (flathead mullet), 1468 nucleotides long. RefSeq lists it as uncharacterized. The transcript has 5 exons. The record is from RefSeq and is a predicted model, not a curated record. Lineage: Eukaryota; Metazoa; Chordata; Actinopteri; Mugiliformes; Mugilidae.
CUGCAGCUCUAACUGGAUCUACCCUGAACCUGAACUCACCUGGUCCACCACACCUCCAUCCAAAGAGACCUUCAAGAACACAACCACAGUCCAGCAGACUGAACAGCAGCUUUACAACAUCAGCAGUUCUCUGAUACUUUCAGACAGUGACAGUGAUCUGGUCUACAGCUGCACCAUCAGCACUGGAACAAACAAGAGGCGACUCGAUUUAAACCAACUUCUAUCAUUGUGUCCAAAGCUGAAUCAACAAUCUCCUGCUGUGACUCAAACACUCCUCUAACAAACUUCAGUCUCACCUGGAGAUUCAACCACAGUCAGAUCAUGGUGAACUGGACCAGGACUGACGUCUCCUACACAGUGUCAGAGGAGUGGAGGCAGCAGGUGAAGGAUGUAUCAGAGUCAGGCAGCCUCACACUACAGGACCUGUCUUCAAACCAGGAGGGAAUAUACACGUGUGAACUUAGGGAUGAGGAGGAGACGUACGUAACAAACAUCUUUCUGAGGAUAAAACGAGAUGCUUGUCCUAUAGUGCUCAUAUGUGUGGUGGUGGUUGGAGGAGUGAUACCUCUGAUAGCUGUGGUGGUGACCUCUCUGGUGGUCAGAAAAAGAAGAAAAACGAAAGGAAAAGCAAAAGCGCUGGCUCAUGAACAGAUUGCUUUGGCGCAAGAACACACACACGGCUUAACAUAAACCGUGACUGCAUCAAAUAAACAUCGGGAGAAGAAUUUAAACAGAGAACUGCAGAUGAAUAGUAUCUUCUGUCUUUCAGUAACUGAGCUGAAGUAUCUCUUGUAAUAACAAUGUUUUGGCUGAAGACCUUCUACUCACCAAAUGGACUGGAAAGAUGGGAAAACACUUUUAAAGCUUGGUUCAAGUGGAACUGACGUUGAGAUGAAUGCAGAGGCCACUCUGAGUUGCAGGAGAAUGAAAUGGUGACUUUGUUUUCUGCUAAUUGUAACAACAGCAUCUGGACAGAGGUAUUAGUACUACACCCGGUCCUACAAAGUACUUUUAAAAACUGCUUUUUAAUCCACACGAUUUCCUGCAUCACGUUGAUCAAGUUUCAUUUUAUUUUAUUUUACUUUUUUUUUUUCACACACACACUUUUAUUGUGAAAUAUCUGGGAGAGAAAUAUUCAGUCACUAGCCACACUAACGUUGCUGUGUGUUUUUAAAACGUGUGAAUGUAAUUUAUUUGAUGUGUGUAAAUCAUGUGAAUGAAGGAGUUUUGUGUUGUUGUUGUUGUUGUUUUGUUCCUUUUUUAAAUCAUGUAAUGGACUACUGGAUGACACUGGACACUGAAUCUGUACGCAGGUAAAAACACUACUGAUUUAUAAUGAAUGUUCAUAAUGAAAUUAUUAAUUUGUGUUUGUAUAUUUUUGAAUAUCUGCAUUUCACAUGUGUUUAUACUGUAAACAUUUCAGUAUUUUAGACCUAUUUGCAAAAUAUAUUAAAAAAUAUCUAUAGAA